UCGAAGUACUGUGAGGAUUUUCCUUACCUUGAUGGUUUGGGUUGAUAUUUGAAGCGUAUCCAGACAGCUCUCAGAAAAUCUAGGUUUCCUUUGCACUGAGGGAGACAGAGUAGCAUUCUUGGUUGUUGGUAGGGUACAUUCCAGAUUUACUUCAUUAACACGUGCAACAAUUUGCCUAAGCUGCUUGUUUCCCAGAUACAGGGCUGCUUCAAAAACACUUCUGCAGGUAUAGAAAUGCAUACAACUUCUUUCACUGCAAUCCCCACCUGAUACAUAUGCAAUCACCUCUGCUGCUGCCAGGAUCUGCAGGCACCUGAAGCACUAAGAUUGAACUGAACACUGCUUUCUCAGUACGAAAUAAUGAUCUAAAAGCCCAAGAAAUGUUGUUGGACAGUUAAAAAGCAAGUAUUUGUUCUCUAUCUAUGUUUCUCUGCAGAUGAACAGCCCACCAGCCCACCUCACACAUUUCAGCUAUAGCAAACGCACUGACCAAACGUAUGCAAAUAUUUCUGUUUGAGUACAACCGGAUGCUUGCUGAAUGACAGCGUGCAGAUGUGCCUUUGAAGAACCUAGGAACAGAUGGGACAGAGAGUAAAGCCCUUCCAUGAUUUCCUAAUAAUCCAGACAAAGAUUUCACCUUCACUAUUUUAGAAAUAGCCUUCUAGAGACAUUUCAGGGUCUGUCUCAGAUGACUUAACCUUUCCACAUUGAAAAACAGUUUGUCGCCUGUGAAGCUGAGGUUUCGAUGCAAAAUACACGCGCAAGAAAUCCUGGUUUUGGAUAUCCAUUUUUCUUACUAAGAUGACAACAUUCACACUGCAUACACUGGACGCUGGGUGAUAUUAGUAAUUUCUGUUUUUGUGAGGAUGGCGAGGUAAACCCAGAAAGACAUUUUCUAUUUUUGGUGGUGAACAAAAUGCUUUUCUUAGGAAACAAUUCACAUUUGAAUUUUCUGUCGCAAGACACACAUUUUAGCUGAACUUCAAUAAAGGAGCCCCACACAACCA
Molecule: long non-coding RNA, 1007 nt
Filed under: Numida meleagris (helmeted guineafowl)
Lineage: Eukaryota; Metazoa; Chordata; Aves; Galliformes; Numididae
Description: lncRNA (ENSNMEG00000010577.1)
Source: RNAcentral